UUUGACUCAACACGGGGAAACUCACCAGGUCCAGACACAAUAAGGAUUGACAGAUUGAGAGCUCUUUCUUGAUUUUGUGGGUGGUGGUGCAUGGCCGUUCUUAGUUGGUGGAGUGAUUUGUCUGCUUAAUUGCGAUAACGAACGAGACCUUAACCUACUAAAUAGUGGUGCUAGCAUUUGCUGGUUAUCCACUUCUUAGAGGGACUAUCGGUUUCAAGCCGAUGGAAGUUUGAGGCAAUAACAGGUCUGUGAUGCCCUUAGACGUUCUGGGCCGCACGCGCGCUACACUGACGGAGCCAGCGAGUCUAACCUUGGCCGAGAGGUCUUGGUAAUCUUGUGAAACUCCGUCGUGCUGGGGAUAGAGCAUUGUAAUUAUUGCUCUUCAACGAGGAAUUCCUAGUAAGCGCAAGUCAUCAGCUUGCGUUGAUUACGUCCCUGCCCUUUGUACACACCGCCCGUCGCU
This 463-nucleotide ribosomal RNA is filed under the name Listeria monocytogenes. RNAcentral describes it as "SSU rRNA". It matches the Rfam family "Eukaryotic small subunit ribosomal RNA", at positions 1194 to 1680 of the family's 1831-position model. Lineage: Bacteria; Bacillati; Bacillota; Bacilli; Caryophanales; Listeriaceae. The record is from RNAcentral.